RNAcentral lists this ribosomal RNA (802 nucleotides) under uncultured organism. RNAcentral describes it as "bacterial SSU rRNA". It matches the Rfam family "Bacterial small subunit ribosomal RNA", at positions 61 to 860 of the family's 1533-position model. The record is from RNAcentral.
GUCGAGGGGUAACGAUGUAGCUUGCUACAGGCGACGACCGGCGCACGGGUGCGUAACGCGUAUGCAACUUUCCUUAUACAGGAGGAUAGCCCAGGAAAACUUGGAUUAAUACUCCAUAAUGUCACCAGGUCGCAUGGCCAGGUGAUUAAAACUCCGGUGGUAUAAGAUGGGCAUGCGUAGGAUUAGCUAGUAGGUAGUGUAACGGACUACCCAGGCAACGAUCCUUAAGGGUUCUGAGAGGAUUAUCCCCCACACUGGUACUGAGACACGGACCAGACUCCUACGGGAGGCGGCAGUGAGGAAUAUUGGUCAAUGGGCGCGAGCCUGAACCAGCCAUCCCGCGUGCAGGAUGACGGCCCUAUGGGUUGUAAACUGCUUUUCUACGCCAAGAAAGGCCCGUACGAGUACGGGAUUGACGGUAGCGUAGGAAUAAGCAUCGGCUAACUCCGUGCCAGCAGCCGCGGUAAUACGGAGGAUGCAAGCGUUAUCCGGAUUCAUUGGGUUUAAAGGGUGCGCAGGCGGGCUUGUAAGUCAGUGGUGAAAUACUGCCGCUUAACGGUAGAAUUGCCAUUGAUACUGCGAGUCUUGAGUAUGGUUGAGGUAGGCGGAAUGUGCAGUGUAGCGGUGAAAUGCAUAGAGAUUGCACAGAACGCCGAUUGCGGAGGCAGCUUACUAAGCCAUAACUGACGCUGAGGCACGAAAGCGUGGGGAGCGAACAGGAUUAGAUACCCUGGUAGUCCACGCUGUAAACGAUGUUCACUCGCUGUUUGCGAUACACAGUAAGCGGCUGAAGCGAAAGCAU